GAAAAUGCUGGGAAAACUGGGAAACACGGGAAAAACACUUGGCCACCACUGAGAGCACACGGCAGAGAUGCCGCAGAAGGCGUGUUAUUAACGCAGAUGAAAGGCCGAGGAGCGAGUUUGCUGUGCUCGUGCAUGCCCAUGGGGGGGCRCUCAGUACGUACGGAGACCCCCAUUCCCAAGAGUCUCGGCUGGAGCGCUGGCUCGUGUCGCGUCCCAACCUUGCGAUGCAAAUGCCCGUGAACCUUCCUGUGAACGCGGCGAUUUGGGCCCCACCGUUAUCUCUGCGCUAAAGCGCCUUGAGCGGCUCCUUGGUGCACGGAGGUAUUUAUACGGCAGCUUUCCCGCUUCCCUGCAAUUCCCGGCUGCUGCUGCCUCCCRGCCAGCUGGCGCCCGAAGCCAGCGUGGCGCAGCAGGUCUUUUAUUUUGGGCAAGCCUCUUUCAGGACAGCCUUCUCCAGGUGGCCCCAAAGGAGGAGACCUUCACAGCACCUGAGCCUGGAGAAGGGGGUUUGCUGCUGGCGCACCGAACCCGCUCCGAAGGGCUUUCGGCCAUCCCGAGCACCCCCGUCCGCCCCAGAGCCRGGAGACGCCGGCUCCUGCUCCCACGCCAGGCUACGGACGCUCGCACGGGGGGUCCUGCCCUGUGGCACCAUCCGGACCAGCAAACGCUGGGGGAGCAAGCGAAGGUGAGCGCAGAGGUGGUUGUACCAGCUCGCUGAUGGACCAGAGGUUURGCCUUAAGGCUUUUUUGUUUAAUUUUGCCCAGGAUCUGAGCUUCCUUCGCAGGAUCACAGCACGGUUGAGGUUGGGAGGGACCCUGGAGAUCAUCUAGUCCAACCCCCCUGCUCGGACAGGGUCAUCUAGCGCACGCUGCCUUCUGCAGCUUGGCCGGGGGAAAAAAAAGCAGUCCCGGGGCUGCAUGCGUACRGCCAAGAGGACUUUUUGGAGGCC
Molecule: long non-coding RNA, 950 nt
Filed under: Apteryx rowi (Okarito brown kiwi)
Lineage: Eukaryota; Metazoa; Chordata; Aves; Apterygiformes; Apterygidae
Description: lncRNA (ENSARWG00000010709.1)
Source: RNAcentral